Non-coding RNA from Pseudonaja textilis, 89 nucleotides. The record is from RefSeq and is a predicted model, not a curated record. NCBI's taxonomy places the organism in Eukaryota, Metazoa, Chordata, Lepidosauria, Squamata, Elapidae.
AUUAAGAACUUCAUAAGUCCCAUAAAGCAGAGAUUCUUAAUCUUUUUGAAAGAAUCACCUCCUUGAGCCAUUGAGGGAGUUAUCAUCGC